This 730-nucleotide ribosomal RNA is filed under the name uncultured eukaryote. RNAcentral describes it as "SSU rRNA". It matches the Rfam family "Eukaryotic small subunit ribosomal RNA", at positions 669 to 1426 of the family's 1831-position model. The record is from RNAcentral.
CGGGUGCACUGAUCCAGCCGGGCCUUUCCCUCUGUGGAACCUCAUGGCCUUCACUGGCUGUGCUGGGGAAACAGGACUUUUACUGUGAAAAAAUUAGAGUGCUUAAGGCAGGCCUAUGCUCGAAUACAUUAGCAUGGAAUAAUAGAAUAGGACGUGUGGUUCUAUUUUGUUGGUUUCUAGGACCGCCGUAAUGAUUAAUAGGGACAGUCGGGGGCAUCAGUAUUCAAUUGUCAGAGGUGAAAUUCUUGGAUCUAUUGAAGACUAACUACUGCGAAAGCAUUUGCCAAGGAUGUUUUCAUUGAUAAGGAACGAAAGUUAGGGGAUCGAAGACGAUCAGAUACCGUCGUAGUCUUAACUAUAAACUAUGCCGACUAGGGAUCGGACGAUGUUAUUUCUUGACGCGUUCGGCACCUUUCGAGAAAUCAAAGUGCUUGGGCUCCAGGGGGAGUAUGGUCGCAAGGCUGAAACUUAAAGAAAUUGACGGAAGGGCACCACCAGGGGUGGAACCUGCGGCUUAAUUUGACUCAACACGGGGAAACUCACCAGGUCCAGACACAGUGAGGAUUGACAGAUUGAGAGCUCUUUCUUGAUUCUGUGGGUGGUGGUGCAUGGGCCGUUCUUAGUUGGUGGAGUGAUUUGUCUGCUUAAUUGCGAUAACGAACGAGACCUUAACCUGCUAAAUAGCCCGUACUGCUUUGGCAGUUCGCCGGCUUCUUAGAGGGACUAUCGG